CACCAAGAAGCUAUAUAGCAUUAACCUUUUAAGUUAAAGACUGAGAGAACAGCACUCUCCUUGGUGA
This 67-nucleotide transfer RNA is filed under the name Neotragus moschatus (suni). RNAcentral's name for it is "tRNA-Lys". The record is from RNAcentral. Lineage: Eukaryota; Metazoa; Chordata; Mammalia; Artiodactyla; Bovidae.